GGGGAAUAUUGGACAAUGGGGGAAACCCUGAUCCAGCAAUGCUGCGUGAGUGAAGAAGGCCUUAGGGUUGUAAAGCUCUUUCGCCCGCGAAGAUAAUGACGGUAGCGGGAGAAGAAGCCCCGGCUAACUCCGUGCCAGCAGCCGCGGUAAUACGGAGGGGGCUAGCGUUGUUCGGAAUUACUGGGCGUAAAGCGUACGUAGGCGGAUGCGCAAGUUGGGGGUGAAAUCCCGGGGCUUAACCUCGGAAUUGCCCUCAAAACUGCACGUCUUGAGACCGAUAGAGGUAAGGGGAUUUCCUAGUGUAGAGGGGAAAUUCGUAGAUAUUAGGAAGAUCACCAGUGGCGAAGGCGCCUUACUGGCU
This 361-nucleotide ribosomal RNA is filed under the name uncultured bacterium. RNAcentral's name for it is "bacterial SSU rRNA". It matches the Rfam family "Bacterial small subunit ribosomal RNA", at positions 356 to 734 of the family's 1533-position model. The record is from RNAcentral.